AGGACGAACGCUGGCGGCGUGCCUAACACAUGCAAGUCGAACGGGACCAGGGGCAACUCUGGUUCAGUGGCGGACGGGUGCGUAACACGUGAGGAACAUGACUUUCGGUGGGGGAUAGCCGGCCCAACGGCCGGGUAAUACCGCGUACGACCUUUUGGGGACAUCCCUGAUUGGUGAAAGCAGCAGUGCGCCGAAAGAGUGCCUCGCGGCCUAUCAGCUAGUUGGUGGGGUAAUGGCUCACCAAGGCGACGACGGGUAGC
Molecule: ribosomal RNA, 260 nt
Filed under: uncultured soil bacterium
Lineage: Bacteria
Description: partial 16S ribosomal RNA
Rfam family: Bacterial small subunit ribosomal RNA
Source: RNAcentral